GAACGCGAAGAACCUUACCAAGGCUUGACAUGCACGGCGGCACUGCAGAGAUGUGGUGGCAUUUAGUUGGUCGUGUGCAGGUGGUGCAUGGUUGUCGUCAGCUCGUGUCGUGAGAUGUUGGGUUAAGUCCCGCAACGAGCGCAACCCUUGCCCUAUGUUGCCAGCACGUUAUGGUGGGGACUCGUGGGGGACUGCCGGGGUUAACUCGGAGGAAGGUGGGGAUGACGUCAAAUCAUCAUGCCCCUUAUGUCUUGGGCUUCACGCAUGCUACAAUGGCUGGUGCAGAGGGUUGCGAUACUGUGAGGUGGAGCGAAUCCCUUAAAGCCGGUCUCAGUUCGGAUUGGGGUCUGCAACUCGACCCCAUGAAGGUGGAGUCGCUAGUAAUCGCAGAUCAGCAACGCUGCGGUGAAUACGUUCUCGGGUCUUGUACACACC
RNAcentral lists this ribosomal RNA (435 nucleotides) under uncultured bacterium. RNAcentral describes it as "bacterial SSU rRNA". It matches the Rfam family "Bacterial small subunit ribosomal RNA", at positions 957 to 1391 of the family's 1533-position model. The record is from RNAcentral.